CUUUUCCCGCACAGGUUAGACUUUUCCCGCACAGGUUAGACUUUUCCAGAACUGUUGUUUCUCUGUACACCCGAAACGUAUUCCUGAUUUGCAACAUUCUGUCCUCUAUAUCUACCAAAGACAUCCAUCCUUCGUCUCUUUCAUCUCCUUUAUAGCUUGUGUACACAGCCUUUGAGUUCUCGAGGCAGCUCGCAAUGACGAGAAAAACAGUGGGCAGUCUCGCAGAAGAGAACAGAGUUGAAACUGGAAAUUGCCGCCGAAUUAGAGUUUAUGGGAAAACAGAAACGAGAGAAUGGUUGGAAAAAACAGUCUAGCUACCAAUAUCUCCACCUAUCUUUGAAACUCAAUAAAAUGUUAUAAAUGAAAUUUUCAUUGUUCGCGUCUAUCGAUUAAAGUUUAUAA
Molecule: long non-coding RNA, 402 nt
Organism: Ostrea edulis (European flat oyster)
Lineage: Eukaryota; Metazoa; Mollusca; Bivalvia; Ostreida; Ostreidae
Exons: 3
Source: RefSeq, a predicted model, not a curated record